GGUGAGGUGCGAGAGCGGUUGAAUCGGGCGGUCUCGAAAACCGUUGAGCCUUCACGGGCUCCGUGGGUUCGAAUCCCACCCUCACCGCCA
Molecule: transfer RNA, 90 nt
Filed under: Acidobacteriota bacterium
Lineage: Bacteria; Pseudomonadati; Acidobacteriota
Description: Acidobacteria bacterium (groundwater metagenome) tRNA-Ser
Rfam family: tRNA
About the family: Transfer RNA (tRNA) molecules are approximately 80 nucleotides in length. Their secondary structure includes four short double-helical elements and three loops (D, anti-codon, and T loops).
Source: RNAcentral